AUUUAUUUAUUUAAUAUUAGAGAUAUACUAGAAUCACACGUGAAAAAAGUCAAAUUUAGUUUAUGUGAAAUUACAUUACUGUCCAUGAUUUUAUUUUGUGAUAAAAGAUUAAAUUGUCUUCUAACCACGCGGUUGAUAUGAUCACUCUCACAAAAGCAUGAGAUUAUUUAUGUUUUGGUCUCAACAACUAUACUGGUUUCACAAGGUGUUAGAGCUACUAUACUCAGAAAUCGGCACCAGAUAUUGAAAAAAGCAUGUAACUCAAGCGGUUUCACAUGCACUCGAAAUCUUGUACUCGAAUCACCUCCCAAUAGUACUUGUAUUAAAAGAAUACAAAGGCAUAUAACCCAAGUAGUAAUUAUACACAUCUUGUAUUUUAUUAACUAUGAAGAAAAAUUACUAAAAUGUGCUUUAUUGCAUGUUGAAUGUCCCUUGUUGAUGAGAGUUUUUAUUUUGAUUGAAGUUAAAUAUGAACGCAACUAAAAACUUAUAAAAAAGCAAAACAAAGGUAUUUUAGAAUACCUUAUACUUUCACACUGGUAAUUUCUCGCAGACAUCGUUAGCCUGAACCCUAAACUUUAAACUAGGGGUGGGUUCAAAAACCGAAAACCGAAAAAAACCGAAAACCAAACCGAACCGAAACCGAAAAAACCGAACCGAACAAAAAAACCGAACCGAAUUGAAAAAACCGAACCGAACCGAAUUCUUUUGGUUCGGUUCGGUUUUAGUGAUCUAGAAACCGAACCAAACCGAACCGAACCGAAUUAAUUAAAUUAAUUUUUUUAUUUAAUUAUUUGUUUUGGAUAUUAUUUUCUAAACCCAAUUUGUAAGUUAAAAUAUGCUAAACCCAAUGUGUUGCCAAACUUUAAGCUCAAAAUAUUAAAAAAAAGUCCUAUAAAAACUUUAAACCCUAACCUAUUAUUUAUCCCCCAUAUAAGGUUCCGGAGCCAAACCUCAUCCUGAAGUACCUACAUCCAUCUCCAUAGCACUGUCUACUUUUGUCUCAGCUUUCUUUUCCAAAUCUACUCUCAUAUAACAUGUAACAGAAUCUAUAAACAUUUAUUUCGGGUAGAUUACUUAGGGAAUUUGUGAUGGAAAAGAAUCCAACACACACUAAAUAAAUCCACCCACGCAUUUCUUUUACUAAUCAAGUUGUCAACAUGCAGUUACAAGCAAACAACCCUGAUCUUUGAACAACAUCAUACAAUUUAAUUUUUCUAAGUCAUUUGUACGAUUUUUGUGUUGUGAUGUUGUUAGUUUGGACUUUGGAAGACUUGAUUGAUGAUUUUAGUUCAACUUUAAAUGUUUAUUUUCAUUGUCUUUGAUUAUAGUUAGAAUGCUUGUGUUAUGAUUGUGUUGGAUACGUUAAAAUUUAAAAUUUCAAUGUUUUUCAUUUUUUGAAAGAAAAAAAAAAAAAAAAACCAAAACCGAACCGAAAAAAACCGAACCGAAAAAAAACCGAACCGAAAAAAACCGAAAAAAAAAUGAACCGAACCGAACCGAACCGAAAUUUCGGUUUGGUUUCGGUUUUGGCAAAAAACCGAACCGAAUUAAACCGAACCCACCCCUACUUUAAACCCUACGAUCGAUCUUUAGUCUAUCUGCCAGUUUCGAUCCCAAGACCUAUUGGAUUCAAACAUCACUCACAUCCAACAGCGUACAAGGGAACCAGCCAGGUUAGCUCAAAAAUUAUAUAUUUAAAGGGGAACCACAUUUCUAAGGGCGAACUCCUUUUUAUUCUGAAACUCCAUUCACUUUUGUCUGAGUUGAUCCUAGCAAAUGGAUGUUUUUUUGUCACACUCAUUAUUUUAACAGAUCGUGUCGUGUCAAACUCAUUAUCUUAACGGGUUCUUAAUAGUUGACCCAAGAACGAUCAAACUCGAUAGUAGAUCGACUCAGAACUUGUUACUUUUGUGUCGUUUCGUGUUGGCUUAAAUACUCAUGUAAGAAAUUGUCAUGCCUUAUGUCUAGACUUGGCAAAUGGGUUGUGUUAGUGUCAUUUAUGUUGACAGGUGAUCUAAUAAUAACUCGAAACUUGUAAGAAAUUGUCAUGCUUUAUCUUGACAGGUGAUCUAAUAAUAACUCGAAACUUGUUAUAUUCCACCACCAUUAACACCUCUAUUCUCACCACCACUACUACUCCAACCACCAUUGCUAUUCACACCAUUCUUGUCUCAACCACCAUCGUCACCAUUAUUACCAAACAGAAAUAAGCUUCCAAUCUCCAUAACUCACUCAACUUAUUAGACUGUGCAAUCAAGAUUUUGUUUCAGUUCAGAUAAUCAUCUCAAACAACCACGUAGAUGUGUCGUGAUCUGAAUUUUUGAGAUUCAAUUUCAUUAGGAAGAGAUGCCACCGAAGAUUUUGAAGAUGCCGAGCACAGCAAAACUGCGAGGGAGGAAAUGAAAGCCUUCUGCAUUGGAGAGCUUGACACCACUUCCUUAGAUAUUCCAGAGCUUGAGAUUUUCUCCAAGAAUCAGCCAACCGAUUAUCCAAAGAAGCUCGUGGACUUGACAAAGCGAUACUGGGCUAUUCCUACGGCCGUUGUUGGCAUCUUCGUGGUUGUCGCCGUCUUGCCCUUGCACAAGAAGUAACCAUCGGAUAAAAUUUGCCCUUGUUAUACAACUCAAAGGGAGAGUUCUUCACAAUUUUGAAUAAUUAGGAGAAAACAACAACCGAGAGAACUGCCCCAUUUUUAUCUAGAUUUUCAUGAUUAUAUUAUUAUUACAAAUUAUAUGGAGAUUGUAUGUCAUUGAAAUUAGGGGAAAUCCAUGGCUUCUGUGUUAGUGAGUCCCCAUUGUUGAAAGAUGGAAAUUACACUAAAAUGUGCUUUAUUGAAUGUUUAGUGUCCUUUUUUAGUGAUAAGAGCUUUUACUUUGAUUGAAGUUAAAACUUGGCACUAUUUUUUUAGCAAAGUUGUCGAAUAAUACACGUACGUAUUUGAUUGAAGUUGAAAACACUAAACCAUUUAGCAAAGUUGCCAACUAAAGUAAAUUGUAAAAUAAUACACGUACAUUUGAUCGAGGUUUUUUUUUUUUCUAACACAAUAAUAUAUUUACAAUAAAAGGUGAGGAAUAAAUUAGUUUUGAACUUGUCAUUCACUUUUAUAAAAAAAAUGAAAAUUAAAUUGUAGGGCCUAAACGACAUCGAACUUCAACGAUCUAAAUUCUAACGUCCUGAUGUUUAAAAAGCAAAACAAAGGUAUUAUAGAAUACCUUAUAUUCUCAAAGGAAAAUGGUUCAAAGUUCAAGGGUCAAGAUCUCCUAAUUUGGUGGAAACUUUCCUUCUCAAAGCACAACAAUACACAAACAAACAACAACAACAACUUCCGCCGAGUUCGAUCCCAUGACCUAUUGGAUUCGAAAAUCGCUCAAACCCAACGACGUACAAGGGUACUGGCGGCAAAGUUCUCAAAUGUGAAUUUAUUUAUUCAGACUUUUGAUAAUGUGGAUUGAAUUUCUGAGGGCUUGGGUGGGCAUUCUGAGCAAAGUCGAACUCCCUUUGCUCGUCUGGUUCAGUUACAUGUACAACUAAACUAGC
RNAcentral lists this long non-coding RNA (3540 nucleotides) under Malus domestica (apple). Its description in RNAcentral is "long non-coding RNA (MDOM_LNC011814)". The record is from RNAcentral. Lineage: Eukaryota; Viridiplantae; Streptophyta; Magnoliopsida; Rosales; Rosaceae.